UCACUGGAGAGAUGGUUAGAAUGAUACCUCACCAGAACACACUAGGAGUUGUAUCGUCUCAAAGCCAUCUUCAAGGAAGGCAAUUGCCAGAUAACAGAGGGUAAUAAAUAUACGAGGAACUCAAUGCCAUUCACCAGGUCUUCCAGACUGGUCAGAGGCAUCAAGCUGGUAUGAGAAAGAGGAGAUGCAGUCCUAACACAGAUGUGCCAAGAGCCUGACAUCACUACAAGUGCCAGGUGACUGACUGAUGGAUGAGAUUCCGGGGCUCAGUGAUGAUAUCAAAAGAACAUCAACAUUAUCUGACUAUAAAGACACCCAGUGUCACCAGAAGGUUGAGAAGUUUUCUGCCACAGCCUACCACCCAAGCCUCCUGUGAGCGCACUACCUGCCUCUCCAAGCCUCUUCUCCCUCACUACAGUAACUGUCUGCCCCUCAGUUACUUACGUGAUUGUGUGCUCAUCGGUGGUCUCAGAGAAAGAAAGAAAGAAAGAAAGAAAGAAAGAAAGAAAGAAAGAAAGAAAGAAAGAAAGAAAGAAAGAAAGAAAGAAAGAAAGAAAGAAAGAAAGAAAGAAAACACUAUCUUAGAAUUCACAAAGCUUUCCUACCUGACAUUUUUUACUAUAGGUUAUCAGGCAGGUCACUUUUUACAGAUCUAUUCCAGCUCUCUUUCUUUUUACUUUGAGUUGUAAGAUAGAAAAAACUGGCCUUGUAUUUACCUGUUAACAGUGACCUGAUUAUCUCUAUAUUUCAGUUCUAGGCUGCAUUCCCCAUGUUCUCCCUCUUACCCAGCUUAGCACAAUUGGCUUCACAUGUGACAGCAGGUGCCCAGUGCAACAGCCUCCAUGUGGGGGAUCUCCAUGUGGAUCAGGUCACAGAGAAUCCCUUCCCACAAUCUGUGUGAUAACGGGCCACACUAUGCGUAGCAUGUCAUGUGGAACAGCUACUGUGGAUAGCAAUUUCCAACCUUUAUGCCACUGUUGUUUUAGGACUCCCGCUCCUAACGUUCUUAUCCUCCUUCCUACUUAACCUCAAGGAAGUUUAAAUGAACAUAUAACAUUCAUGGGGUAUAUUUUACACAAUUGUACAGGGAAUUGCAUGAUCUCUCUCCUCCCUUUCCGUCAAGAUAUGGACUUGGCCAGAAGAAUGCUCAUAUGCUAAUCCACAUGGAGGUUCAAUCUGUCGAUGGCUGAUAACCAUGACAGCUGUGUGAAACCUCUACAUUUGAGGCACUAUGUCUCUAUCAGUUGCUUGGAAGCAAUAAUAGGAGAGACAUGUUGCCUUCAUGCCCUGAUUGUGAGCUUUCCAUUAGUAUCUGGUUAGCCACUGUGUAAAACUGCUGGAGUAGAUGGACAUUUAGUCUGAUCCAGCAGGGCUCUUCUUAUGUUCUUACAUAAGCCACUUUCAAUGUAGCUGCUACUUUACAGUGAAGAGGAAACAUCAACCUUCUUGUCAUAGUUCUUUAUGUACAAGGGAUUUUACUCCUUUUCUCUAUAGGGCCUUUUCAGUUGUGGCUCCCCAUUUAUGGAAUGGUUUCCCCAGUGAGGUCCACCUGACACCUUCACUGACAUCUUUUCAGUGCCAUGCUUGCUUCUACUGUAGGUCAGAUAUGGGAACUUGUGGCAGUCCAGAUGCUGUUGGACUACAACUGCCAUCAUCCCUGACCUUUGGCAAUGCUGGCUGAGGCUAAUGGGAGUUGGAGUCCAACAACAUCUGAAAGGUCACAGAUGUUGCCCACUCUUGCAGUAGAUACUGCCAUGGGAAGUACUAAUACUACUACAGGGUCACACAUGUCUAAUUUUAGGAGUUCAGGAGUAAGAUGAGCCCUCCAGCAGGAAAAGUAGUCCCUGUCCAGUGUCACUGCACAUUUCUCUGAAGCGGCACCCACAGAUGGGGUAGACCCCAUUCAUUUGAACUGAAAGAACUGAGUCACAUAUGCAUUCCUCUGCUUCAACAGAUCAGGUACCAUCACUUAAGUGAAUUCUUAUUGGUCCUGGUAUUCCACACCUGUAAGCAAUCUCUAAAUCAAGAACUGUGUCUGUAACUGCCAAUCAAGUCAAUGUUUUGCACAUAAAUAAACACAAGAGACAUUAAAAAUAAGACCAGGUGUUCCCUAAUGGUGCUUCAUUUAAAGAACUGCUUUUGAAAGUCAGUUUUUGAUGAAAGACAAAUAAAUACAAAAAUAGAAACACAUUCCCAGACUCAAUAAAAUCAAACUGGAUCAAGCACUUAAAAGGACAGACAAAUUAGAAUCAUUAAAGAAGAGCUGCUUAUAAACGCAAACAGGCAAUUUGCCACCUGCAAAAGCAACUACAAAGAAUCUGGAAGACUGCAAAAGACUGCAUUUGCUUGCAGUGAUGUUCAUGCAUAUAUACUUCCUCAGUCUUAAAAAAAAGUGAAUAGAAUCCACAUGCAGGAAAUGUUUGGCUUAAAGCUAGGAAAUAUAUGAUGAAUAUCAGUUAAGGCCAGGAUAAAAUCUGAAACACACGUUUCCUAUAUCAAUUUAUUGAGGAGGCUUUAGAACAGAUUUAUAAAGGAAAUGCACUCUGUUAAACCUGCUUGUAUCCUUUGAGUGCAUUUCUGAUGCUCAAACUACAUAUGAUUGGAACAAACUCAUUCACUGAAACCUGAAUCUGUCCCAAUCACAUAUAAAGCAGGAGGUCUGAUGGUUCCAGUUCGAGUGUGUAGGCAAGGAGAGCUGACCUGUCCCUGUGUGUACCAUUUACUUCCUCAUAGCCUCUCCCCAGCCACUUUUCUCUCAGCAGGGCUCUCUCCCAAUACUGAAGUCCAGAUGAUGGGAAAGUGACAUUAGAAGAGAUGGUGAGUAGGUAAGCUGUAGGCAGAACUGAGCCUUGGGCCCUACCUUUCCUCUCUCCUCUCCUCCCUCCCUUUUUCUACUGCUGUUGUGUCUUGUUUGAUUGUAAGUCUGAAAGCAGGGACUGUGUUAAUCUUUUUUAUUGAUUUUUAUUUACAAGCUGUUCUGGGCUCUUUUCCAGCUCAAGAUCAGGGUAUCAAUGCUUUGAAUUAUUAAUAAUAAUUAUAAUAAUAGUUUGAGCCUGGGAAAGAACACUUAAGUGAAAUGGAAUGCAUUACUUGCAUAGGCAGUGAGAAAUUCUACUGGGGGCAGGAUAGACAAACAUGCAUUUGUGACAUUACAUUCCUCAUGACAGUUAUACUGAAUAAUUGUCUGUCAUGCGAGGCAUCAACGUUUUUUAUGCAGUACCUUUUACAUGACUAACCCUAUAUAGGGAAGGAACAGGAUUGUGCCCACUGGCCCUCUGUCCUCACCACUGCCAGCUUUUGGAUACUGGAGGUCCUAUUUGGACAGGUUUCCUACACUUAUAUGUUUCAAUGUGGAUACACUCUCUGUGUGUGAUCCAUAGUGUAGGGAAAUCAAGCGUAUAGAUCCUACACUCAGAGCCUACAUGCUCUGACCAAUUUGCUUAGGACUCUGUGCUGAUAACUUGGGUGUUAGGUGUGGCAAGGAGGCACAGCUAGAGAACAGAUUCCAAUUCCUCACCACCAGCAACUAGGGAUGGAAAGAUCCAUCAAUUCCAGUUCUUUCCAGUUCUCAUUUUUUCAAACUUAAUUCAGUUCUUCACAUUUCUGCAGUAAUUUGCAGGGUUUUUUUGUUUUUUUUUAAAUCUUCAUGAAAAUUUUCCAGCAUUUUGGUGCCAAUUUCUCCCACUAAACUCAUUUUUGUAGGCAGUUUUGGCUAAUGUACCCAUUUUUGAAAGCAAUUUCUCGUCAAAUAAUGAAUUUUUGCAUGUUAUUUUCACUCAUAUUCAUUUUUAUGCACACUUUCCCCUAAUAUGUGCAUUUCUGCAAACAUUAGUUGGUUGGCGAACUGCAUUGCAAAAUUCAAGUAAGUGUGAAUUUUGACAGAUGGUGUGUUUAGGUUCUCAUAUUGUUUCAGAGAUUGCAAAUUUGACAAACAUGACUUGAAAUGCGAACUGAACCGAAAUUUUUGCCCAUCCUUAUCACCAGCCGUUUGUGCUUUGUAUGACAAUCUCUCCACAGGUUUGUGUAAAAAUCUUAGUAGAGAUAUCAAGAUGUUUUAUAAUGCAAUAGUGUAUUGUAAUAUAUAACUUGCACAAGAUUGCUGGUGGAUUGAGCAACAAUCCCCCUCCUCCCAAUAAUCUCCUACUCCAUUUACAGGCAGUGAACUGAACUGGCCAUUUCAGUGAUUUGUAAGGGAACAAAAUUCUUAGAAGGUUUAGGGUGAGUUUACCAACUGUUUUUGACCUGCCAUCAUAGCCAGCAGUGCCAAAACAACCUGGCAAUUGCCUUUUUUUAAUCCAGAGUGCUCUGGAACAUAGCAUCGUUCUUGGAGGGGGGAAUUGCAGUCACCAGUGGACAUCGUGUGGAAGGGUGCUCCACACACACCCAGUGGUAGCCACCACAGACAGUAGUGUGUGUGGCCAAGUGCUGUAGUAUAGAAUGUUUCUGCUUUUAUCAUGAGCAAUGGAACUAAACAGAGACGCUCAGGGUUGCAGAAGGAAACCCUUUGGGAAAAGGACAGGAAGCCUUGGGCAGGGUCUCAAGGAGGCACCACCCUUGUUUUGGAGCUUGCUGAAGGCAGGCUUAUAAGAGCAGAGGAAAAGGACAUACCAGAGAUUCCCCCCCCCCCUCUAACCAGGAACAUGAUGGAAACUUAACUGACAAAAUGUAAAGAAAUGAUGCAGGGAUGCAUGGAUCAAGAUCUGUGGACUUCCACAAAAAUUAUUGGCUGUAUUACUAAUGGGCAAAUUGAGUCUGAGAUGGGUGAAGCUCGUUUACCUCACUAGAAUGGUCCCAAACCAGUAAUGUACAAAAUGCCUGUGACCUUGGCAGUUGACAUAGACUUGAUCAUAACAAUGUUUUGUAAAAGUGACACUGCAGAUCUGUAUCCUUUAACCAGAUUGUGUUGUCGUUUUUUAUACUCCACUGGAAGCUCAGUUCUGAAACUGCUUAUUUUAAUAUAUAUCUCAUAAAUCAAAGGCUCAUAUUCAAUGAAAGCAACAGAACGCAAAAGGGGGGAAAGCUUUAUACGUUAUCAUAGAUAUAAAUUUUGAAUGAUAAAAGUGAUUUGCCACCAAGCCUUUAAUCAAAGGUGUCUUCAUACUAGCAAAGGCAUAAUUUGAUUUUGAUUUCAAUACACGGUACUCCAGUGGCAGGUACCUGACAUGUUACAAUCCAGAUUUGAUCUCUGAGGCAAUUAAGAGGAUAUUGUUUUAUGAGAGAAAUGGGAAUUGUUCUCUACUCCAUGAGAAAUGAGACAGACAAAACACCAACAGGUAGUUUAAUGAAGAAACAACUUUUAUUAGGAUUCAGAAUCAAUGAAUAUUUUUUUCAGUGCAAAUUCAAUUUCUCCAAUGAACAUAUUACUUUUUUCUGCUACAGAGGAAGGUUGUCAGCAGUGACAUACCUUACACCUUCUUCUGUUGUUCAUUUGGAACCAGCAAAAAGGAUAUACUAUGGUUAUUGUGCUCAUACCUAAGAUGGGGGUGGUGCUUCGAUGCACAACUAUAAUGGUCACCAAACUGUACCUUAAGCCAGAUCUGGGGAAUCUGUGUGGCGCUGCAGGUGAUGUUGGACUACACCUCCCAUUAUCCCCUGACUGUUGGCAAUACUGGCUAGGGCAGAUAGGGAUUAGAAUCCAACAACAUCUGCAGGGCUACAGGUUCCCCACCACUGCCUUAAGCAAACUGUCAAUGGGAAUUUGGAGGAAUGACAUCAAUGGAAUCUUGAGAGAAGCAAAAAGAGUUGCAAUAAGCCUAGAUAAAUAUCAGAGAAGGGGUUGGAUUCCACUGUUCCAUAAUUUCAUGCCCAAGACUCAGAAAAUGCUGAGGUAAGAUGAACACAUAUUAGGCAUGAGAAAAGCCUACCAGAACUCUAUCACUUCAAAUGCCUCAAGGCCUAGUCCAGGGGUGAGGAACUUGUGACCCUCCAACUGCUGUUGAAGUCCAACUUCCAUCAGCCCCAGCCAGCAUGGCCAAUGGUCGGGGAUGAUGGGAGACAGAGUCCAACAACAUUUGGAGGGCCACAGAUUUCCCACUCCUGGCCUAGUCUCUUUGUUGUUGCUGUUGUUGUUAUGUGCCUUGAAGUCGACUACAACUUAUGGCGACCCUAUGAAUCAGCAACCUCCAAGAGCAUCUGUCAUGAACCACCCUGUUCAGAUCUUGUAAGUUCAGGUCUGUGGCUUCCUUUAUGGAAUCAAUCCAUCUCUUGUUUGGUCUUCCUCCUUUUCUACUCCCUUCUGUUUUUCCCAGCAUUAUUGUAUUUUCUACUGAAUCAUGUCUUCUCAUGAUGUGUCUGAAGUAUGAUAACCUCAGUUUCAUCAUUUUAGCUUCUAGUGAUGGUUCUGGUUUAAUUUGUUCUAACACCCAAUUAUUUGUCUUUUUAAACUUUGUGUAAAGCCUAAACUGGAACUGCUGGAGACUGAUCAACUGGUACACAUAAAACACUGACAGGAUUCUUUAACACUACAGUUACUAUAGGUUGUUAGUACAGUAGGGCCCCGCUUUACAGCGUUCCGUUUUCCGGCGUCCCGCUGAUGCGGCAGCUUUCAAUUAGGGGAAAUUCCCCAUUUUAAAGCCAAUUUUGCGCUUUUGCGGCAUUUUGUGGCAUUUUCGCGCGAUGCAAUCCAUUAUAGUCAAUGGGUUCCGCUUUACGGCAAUUUCUGCUUUAUGGCGGGGGCCUGGUCCCUAACCCGCCAUAUAAGCGGGGCCCUACUGUAAUAUUGUACACUGUGUGGGUGUCUGCUGCCACUCACCAGCCCUGGACAUGUCAUUAAAGAAAAUCUCCAUGCACAGUUGAUAAGAUCAGGAUGCUCCUGCUCAAAAUAAACAGCUAAAGUGUUUUGAAGAAAUUAAAAAGAGUUUCAAUAAGACAUUUCCUGUAAGGGAUACUGAUGUGACUUCUUCUAAGGGAAAUUAUAGUGACCCUGACUUUGGUAAUGUCAUCUCUUGUCUUUAUUCUUCAGCGUUAAUUGCCAUAUUUGGCAAACAUCUGACAAAUAUCUUUCCCACUUUCUGUGGGAGUGCAUUUGCCUCCACCCCUCUCUGCUUCAAAGGAGACUCAGGUGGUUCAGACCCAAAGAGAGGAGGGAGGUCACAUGAGCCCUAGGGUCAAUCAGGAUGGGGCAAGGGAGCAUAGUUUAUAUGCCAACUCUGCCCCCACUCUCCCUCUUCUGCAUUUUGUUGGUCCUACCCUCCCACCCUUUCAGUAUGGGUUUUGCUAGUCUCUGCUUAGGGGCUGAGUAUGAAUUUGUGGGAUGGAGAUUCAUAGUUAGAAUCCCCCCCCCCAUUUUGCCUACUCCAUACUGCAGGGUUUAAUUCAUUUGGCUUUGGAGCGGUGUGGUUCUUGCCUUUUGGAGUUGAGUUCAGGAAGGUGAGGAGGCUGGGGUGGUUAUCAUGAGCUCUACUGGGGCAUUAUGGGGUUAGGGACACCCUUUGGCGAUCUCCCAGUGCUUUAUGCCUGGGUGGCACCUGGGGGUGCCCUUGGGUCCUAGCUUGUGCAUCAGGGCCCAGAAGUGCAGGAUGGGUGCCCACCCACCUAACAAGGAGGGAGGUGUUUCCUCCCCAUCCUGGGCUGGGGGACCACUGCCUUUGGCUGCUGACAUGCCCAGGGGACUGAGGGGGGAGUGUUUCCCCAUCAGAUGUAGUUAUAACCUCACCUGCCCAAAGAAUUUGAAUUUGGUUGAUUUGGUUUACAGAUUCUCCACAAUUUUUGCUGCAUUUUAAUAAAUAUAACAUCUUUCCAAUCUUGGUGUCUUGAGUCUUCUGUGGGGGUGUGGAGGCAAAGCCACUACUGCAAGAAAUAUCAGACAUUAACUGGGAUGCAUAGAACUAUCAGGCGAUGAUUGAUAAUGCUACUCUUCAUUAUCAUCCCAAAUGCCAAACUUGAAGACG
This is a long non-coding RNA of Rhineura floridana, 7889 nucleotides long. RefSeq lists it as uncharacterized. The transcript is spliced from 3 exons. NCBI's taxonomy places the organism in Eukaryota, Metazoa, Chordata, Lepidosauria, Squamata, Rhineuridae. The record is from RefSeq and is a predicted model, not a curated record.